This 708-nucleotide long non-coding RNA is filed under the name Phoenix dactylifera (date palm). RNAcentral describes it as "long non-coding RNA (PDAC_LNC018424)". The record is from RNAcentral. Lineage: Eukaryota; Viridiplantae; Streptophyta; Magnoliopsida; Arecales; Arecaceae.
UCAUGUUCAAUAGCAAGACCCUCUAUUGCCAAAAGUUGUCUUGGCUAGAGGAAUUCGAUACUGAGUCUGAGGAUUCACAUUUACUAAAUAUCAAUCCAGAACAUUGUCAAACUAUGAUGGACCAUACCAUGAUCCAUAUAUAGUUUGGAAGAUGCUUAAGAGUGACAGUUCUAUGACUUUGAAUUGUAAAGCUGGUUAAGAAAAUUAAAUAACAGCUGUUAAAUAUAAAAGGAUGUGAACAUUAAUUCUAUCUCCCUCCUCACAAUUUUUCUUUCUUUUCCCUCUUGAUUCUAGGAUUGCUGACUUUUGAGUUGCACAAGACAUGUAUGUAAAGAAGCAAAUUAGUUGGAAUUCCAACAAGUUCAACGGUAUGGUAAAUUGUUUUGAUGAUAGUCGAUGAUUGAAACAGUCACCUCAAAAUUGCCCCAGUAAAUAAAUACAGUAUGUCGUCGGCUGUUUUCUUAACUUUGUGAGAAAGCAUUACUGCAUAAGUUUCAACCAUAAAAGCGAUAAUUUCCAUGGCAAUGAAAGAUUAAACUCCCAUAUUUUUUUAGCAUUCUAAGCAUAAUCAAUAAUCAAACCAACAAUAUUAUAAACUUCAUCCCAUUUCCACCCAAUCCACACAAUGACAUGGCAGCAGUUUCAUUACACUCUCUAGAUUUGUGCCACACCUCACAAACUAGACAGACCACAGUAAUGAGCUCUUGG